GACGAACGCUGGCGGCGUGCUUAACACAUGCAAGUCGAACGGAAAGGCCCUGCUUGCAGGGUACUCGAGUGGCGAACGGGUGAGUAACACGUGGGUGAUCUGCCCUGCACUUCGGGAUAAGCCUGGGAAACUGGGUCUAAUACCGGAUAGGAGCCAUUUUUAGUGUGAUGGUUGGAAAGUUUUUUCGGUGUAGGAUGAGCUCGCGGCCUAUCAGCUUGUUGGUGGGGUAAUGGCCUACCAAGGCGGCGACGGGUAGCCGGCCUGAGAGGGUGGACGGCCACAUUGGGACUGAGAUACGGCCCAGACUCCUACGGGAGGCAGCAGUGGGGAAUAUUGCACAAUGGGCGCAAGCCUGAUGCAGCGACGCCGCGUGGGGGAUGACGGCCUUCGGGUUGUAAACUCCUUUCGCUAGGGACGAAGCUUUUUGUGACGGUACGUAGAUAAGAAGCACCGGCUAACUACGUG
RNAcentral lists this ribosomal RNA (465 nucleotides) under uncultured bacterium. RNAcentral's name for it is "partial 16S ribosomal RNA". It matches the Rfam family "Bacterial small subunit ribosomal RNA", at positions 28 to 507 of the family's 1533-position model. The record is from RNAcentral.